GUGGGGAAUAUUGGACAAUGGGCGAAAGCCUGAUCCAGCCAUGCCGCGUGUGUGAAGAAGGUCUUUGGAUUGUAAAGCACUUUAAGUUGGGAGGAAGGGCAGUAAGUUAAUACCUUGCUGUUUUGACGUUACCAACAGAAUAAGCACCGGCUAACUUCGUGCCAGCAGCCGCGGUAAUACGAAGGGUGCAAGCGUUAAUCGGAAUUACUGGGCGUAAAGCGCGCGUAGGUGGUUCAGCAAGUUGAAGGUGAAAUCCCCGGGCUCAACCUGGGAACUGCCUCCAAAACUGCAUGACUAGAGUACGGUAGAGGGUAGUGGAAUUUCCUGUGUAGCGGUGAAAUGCGUAGAUAUAGGAAGGAACACCAGUGGCGAAGGCGACUACCUGGACUGAUACUGACACUGAGGUGCGAAAGCGUGGGGAGCAAACAGGAUUAGAUACCCGAGUAGUCC
Molecule: ribosomal RNA, 450 nt
Filed under: uncultured bacterium
Lineage: Bacteria
Description: bacterial SSU rRNA
Rfam family: Bacterial small subunit ribosomal RNA
Source: RNAcentral